UACAUUAUGGUGUAUUGGCACGUAAAUUUUUGAAGUUUAAGGGGAAGGUUCAUAUCCUUCUUGUGUAG
Molecule: transfer RNA, 68 nt
Filed under: Abraliopsis morisii
Lineage: Eukaryota; Metazoa; Mollusca; Cephalopoda; Oegopsida; Enoploteuthidae
Description: tRNA-Gln
Rfam family: tRNA
About the family: Transfer RNA (tRNA) molecules are approximately 80 nucleotides in length. Their secondary structure includes four short double-helical elements and three loops (D, anti-codon, and T loops).
Source: RNAcentral